GAUGAACGCUGGCGGCGUGCCUAAUACAUGCAAGUCGAGCGAACAGACGAGAAGCUUGCUCCUUUGACGUUAGCGGCGGACGGGUGAGUAACACGUAGAUAACCUACCUAUAAGACUGGGAUAACUUCGGGAAACCGGAGCUAAUACCGGAUAAUAUUUCGAACCGCAUGGUUCAAUAGUGAAAGAUGGCUUUGCUAUCACUUAUAGAUGGACCUGCGCCGUAUUAGCUAGUUGGUAAGGUAACGGCUUACCAAGGCAACGAUGCGUAGCCGACCUGAGAGGGUGAUCGGCCACACUGGAACUGAGACACGGUCCAGACUCCUACGGGAGGCAGCAGUAGGGAAUCUUCCGCAAUGGGCGAAAGCCUGACGGAGCAACGCCGCGUGAGUGAUGAAGGUCUUCGGAUCGUAAAACUCUGUUAUUAGGGAAGAACAAAUGUGUAAGUAACUGUGCACGUCUUGACGGUACCUAAUCAGAAAGCCACGGCUAACUACGUG
Molecule: ribosomal RNA, 497 nt
Filed under: uncultured bacterium
Lineage: Bacteria
Description: partial 16S ribosomal RNA
Rfam family: Bacterial small subunit ribosomal RNA
Source: RNAcentral